UAUCUUUCGAAAACUAUAACAAAACGCGAUGAACGGAAGGAAAAUACGCCAACUACGGCGGCGCACGGCGCCUCGGCGAUAUCAUAUUGAUCCUACGAACUGCAUGCAUCCAGCUGUUGCAAGGCGAGAAGGUUCGUGAGGAUGCCAAAGAGUCGAGAUGCAAACACCGUCGUGAGCUUUCCACUUUUUGUACAGUUUUGUCGUCUUCCAGUCCCAUAUGUAACAUUUACCAUCUGCGUCUCCGGAAACCAGAUAG
RNAcentral lists this long non-coding RNA (256 nucleotides) under Neodiprion pinetum (white pine sawfly). RNAcentral's name for it is "uncharacterized LOC124213198". The record is from RNAcentral. Lineage: Eukaryota; Metazoa; Arthropoda; Insecta; Hymenoptera; Diprionidae.